GUGCUUGCUUCAGUAGCAUGUAUACUAAAAUUGGAACAAUACAGAGAAGAUUAGCAUGCCCCCUGCACAAUGAUGACAUUCAAAUUUGUAAAGCAUUCCAUAUUUUU
Molecule: small nuclear RNA, 107 nt
Organism: Ictidomys tridecemlineatus (thirteen-lined ground squirrel)
Lineage: Eukaryota; Metazoa; Chordata; Mammalia; Rodentia; Sciuridae
Source: Ensembl